CUCACAUUAAAGAGCACUAAGUGAUUUUCAAGGCAAUGACAUGUGACACUUGAAGGUAUCGGAGGCGCGCCAUGCGGUCUACUUGAAAGACUUGCGGUUAUUUUCAUACCGUAUCUAAGCGAGUAUGUAAGGACGCCCAGCAUUUGCUACCACCAUUAGCUUAAGAUUCCUGCGGCUGGCAUCUCUGUAAUGCAGCAGACGAUUAAUUACCCACAGCUCUGUUUGUUAUCGAUCUGCUAACCCCACCACCAAACGCAAGACAUGCCAGAAAUGCACACAAAGGGACCAGCCCGACAAAAGACCAAUAAUAACCAUCAUAUCACCUCGUAAA
Molecule: long non-coding RNA, 331 nt
Organism: Misgurnus anguillicaudatus (oriental weatherfish)
Lineage: Eukaryota; Metazoa; Chordata; Actinopteri; Cypriniformes; Cobitidae
Source: RefSeq, a predicted model, not a curated record